RNAcentral lists this ribosomal RNA (556 nucleotides) under uncultured bacterium. Its description in RNAcentral is "partial 16S ribosomal RNA". It matches the Rfam family "Bacterial small subunit ribosomal RNA", at positions 355 to 922 of the family's 1533-position model. The record is from RNAcentral.
UGGGGAAUAUUGCACAAUGGGCGAAAGCCUGAUGCAGCAACGCCGCGUGCGGGAUGACGGCCUUCGGGUUGUAAACCGCUUUCAGCAGGGACGAAGGUUUUCUGACGGUACCUGCAGAAGAAGCACCGGCUAACUACGUGCCAGCAGCCGCGGUGAUACGUAGGUGCGAGCGUUGUCCGGAAUUAUUGGGCGUAAAGAGCUUGUAGGCGGUCCGUUGCGUCGGAAGUGAAAACUCAGGGCUUAACCCUGAGCCUGCUUUCGAUACGGGCGGACUUGAGGGAUGUAGGGGAGAACGGAAUUCCUGGUGGAGCGGUGGAAUGCGCAGAUAUCAGGAGGAACACCAGUGGCGAAGGCGGUCCUCUGGACAUUUCCUGACGCUGAGAAGCGAAAGCGUGGGGAGCAAAACAGGCUUAGAUACCCUGGUAGUCCACGCCGUAAACGGUGGGCACUAGGUGUGGGACCCAUUCCACGGGUUCCGUGCCGUAGCUAACGCAUUAAGUGCCCGCCUGGGGAGUACGGCCGCAAGGCUAAAACUCAAAGGAAUUGACGGGGUCAU